AAACCAUAUUCAUCACCAUCGAUUUGCCUCCCUUUCUUGAUUACCUCAACCUCCUGACAUAGCUAAGAUACCAUGGCUCGCUUCCAAGUGAUCGCCGUGGCAAUUUUUAUAACAAUCAUGCUCCUCCUGUCCACUGGGAUGUCCACCGCAAUACCGAAACCUAUACAAGGAAGGAAGCUUUUCCAGUAUGAUUUUAACAAUGGUACGUAUGGGCCGAUGAACAUCCCCGGUACACAAAGUGGAUAUCCUUAAUUAAUUAGCAGAUAUAGCUGGUUAAGAAAUAAGGUCUUCAUCAAUGGAGGUCUACUUUAUGCUUUUAUAUUACUAUGGAAAUAUUGUUUUUAUUACAAGUAGAGAAACGAAUGCAGUGGCGGACAGUUUAGCAAGGCAGGCUGUUCAUAAAAACAGGGACUCCGUGCUUGUCUUUGAUAGCCAUUUAUUUUAGGAAAGCUCUGUUUUUGGAUCUUUUCCCCUUUAUAGUUUUCUGUAACCAUCACCUUGUUGGUCUUGCUAUAACUUUCAUUCUUUAGUAAAUUUGAUGGAUGAUGAUUCCUUUUUCUGC
This is a long non-coding RNA of Populus euphratica (Euphrates poplar), 562 nucleotides long. RefSeq lists it as uncharacterized. Lineage: Eukaryota; Viridiplantae; Streptophyta; Magnoliopsida; Malpighiales; Salicaceae. The transcript has 2 exons. The record is from RefSeq and is a predicted model, not a curated record.